GUUUAUGUAGCUUANAUUCACCCAAAGCAAGACACUGAAAAUGCCUAGACGGAUCUACAGACCCCAUAAACA
This 72-nucleotide transfer RNA is filed under the name Presbytis melalophos mitrata. Its description in RNAcentral is "tRNA-Phe". Lineage: Eukaryota; Metazoa; Chordata; Mammalia; Primates; Cercopithecidae. The record is from RNAcentral.